CCUACGGGUGGCUGCAGUGGGGAAUAUUGGACAAUGGGGGCAACCCUGAUCCAGCCAUGCCGCGUGUGUGAAGAAGGCCUUCGGGUUGUAAAGCACUUUAAGCGGGGAGGAAGGCUCGCGACCUAAUACGUCGCGGGAGUGACGUUACCCGCAGAAUAAGCACCGGCAAACUCCGUGCCAGCAGCCGCGGUAAUACGGAGGGUGCGAGCGUUAAUCGGAAUUACUGGGCGGAAAGCGUACGUAGGCUGUUAAAUCCCCGGGCUCAACCUGGGAGCUGCAUUCGAUACUGGCAGACUUGAAUACGGUAGAGGGGGGUGGAAUUCCAGGUGUAGCGGUGAAAUGCGUAGAGAUCUGGAGGAACACCAGUGGCGAAGGCGGCCCCCUGGACCGAUAUUGACGCUGAGGUGCGAAAGCGUGGGGAGCAAACAGGAUUAGAUACCCCAGUAGUC
RNAcentral lists this ribosomal RNA (449 nucleotides) under uncultured bacterium. RNAcentral describes it as "partial 16S ribosomal RNA". It matches the Rfam family "Bacterial small subunit ribosomal RNA", at positions 338 to 795 of the family's 1533-position model. The record is from RNAcentral.